GGCCCUGUAGUGUAAGGGCACAUCAGAUUGCAAAUCUUAUAGAGCAGAUAGUCUCCCUGCCUGGGCUU
Molecule: transfer RNA, 68 nt
Filed under: Brycon nattereri
Lineage: Eukaryota; Metazoa; Chordata; Actinopteri; Characiformes; Bryconidae
Description: tRNA-Cys
Source: RNAcentral